GGAUUUAAUCAGUGGUCCGCUACAGAGGAUCUCAGGGAACCGGGAUUAUUGGACUCAACCUUUACUAACACUGGAACACCUCAAUGUUGGAAAAUACAUUUUUAAGUUGAGAGUGACUGAUGGUGAUGGAGCAGUAGGUGUGGCCUAUGCUAAUGUUACUGUACAGGCGGAACCUGAUUACCCACCAACAGCUGAUGCUGGAGCGUCAGUAUUGAUACAAUUACCUCAUGAUGAGGUAACACUGGAUGGAGGACGGAGCAAA
Amphimedon queenslandica is the source of this 262-nucleotide long non-coding RNA. RefSeq lists it as uncharacterized. The record is from RefSeq and is a predicted model, not a curated record. The transcript is spliced from 2 exons. Lineage: Eukaryota; Metazoa; Porifera; Demospongiae; Haplosclerida; Niphatidae.